RNAcentral lists this ribosomal RNA (468 nucleotides) under uncultured bacterium. RNAcentral describes it as "partial 16S ribosomal RNA". It matches the Rfam family "Bacterial small subunit ribosomal RNA", at positions 28 to 507 of the family's 1533-position model. The record is from RNAcentral.
GAUGAACGCUGGCGGCGUGCUUAACACAUGCAAGUCGAACGGAAAGGCCCAAGCUUGCUUGGGUACUCGAGUGGCGAACGGGUGAGUAACACGUGGGUGAUCUGCCCUGCACUUCGGGAUAAGCCUGGGAAACUGGGUCUAAUACCGGAUAGGACGAUGGUUUGGAUGCCAUUGUGGAAAGUUUUUUCGGUGUGGGAUGAGCUCGCGGCCUAUCAGCUUGUUGGUGGGGUAAUGGCCUACCAAGGCGUCGACGGGUAGCCGGCCUGAGAGGGUGUACGGCCACAUUGGGAAUGAGAUACGGCCCAGACUCCUACGGGAGGCAGCAAUGGGGAAUAUUGCACAAUGGGCGCAAGCCUGAUGCAGCGACGCCGCGUGGGGGAUGACGGCCUUCGGGUUGUAAACUCCUUUCGCUAGGGACGAAGCGUUUUUGUGACGGUACCUGGAGAAGAAGCACCGGCUAACUACGUG